UGCUGAGCAGGUAAAACUCCCCCCAAUUGAAAAUUCAAGUUUCAUACCCUCACCUCGAUAAUGAAAAUCUCUCGUCUCUAACCUAGCAGUCCCGCACAAAUCUGAGCUCUGAACUCUCUCGCCUCUCUCACCUCUCUCACCUCACAUCCCGACAUUCAUUUCUUAUCACCUCUGACCUCCAUUUCUCAUCUCAAUAUCACAUCAGUUCAAGUUAGGGUUUCGGUGUUCUGUCAUCUGAUUUGGGGAUUUUGCUAAUUUCUCAAUUCAAGUUCAAGUUCAGUUAUCGAUUAGGGUUUUUGAAGUUUUCAAUUAUGACAUCUCAACUAGGGGUGUGACUUGUAACUUCUUUAUCUCAAUUAGGGCUUUGGCUGGUAACUUUUAAUUGAUGUUUCGGCUUGGGUUGGGUGCUGCAUAAAUGUGUAAAUGUGAUAUAUGUGUAAAUCUCUUGCAGGCACGUCGAAAUGAGUUGGGAAUGGAAGGAAGAGAACUUGGAUCGAGUUGUUUCAUAUGUGAUAACUUGUUUCGUGAAGUCAAAAGGAAGCCUGACGGGCGGAAAGAGGUACUACUUUCUUAAAAACAUGGAAAUAACAAGUUAUAUAAAAAUAACAAAUCUGUUUAUAUUUCAUGCAAUGAUGCCUUCAACCUCUUUGUGCCUAGCUAACUGGUACUUUAUUGUAUGCCUAUUGAUAUAUACUAAAUUAUGGUUUACUGAAUUGUUUAUUUCAUAAGUACAGUUAUUAGGCAAUAUAACAAUUUGUUGACAUAUCUUGAGUUAUAUAUCCAAACAUGGAACUGGGGUAAUGAUUUACGAGAGUAAACCUGGCGGUAUUAUAAAGGGGACGAUACAAUGCUGAGUUUGCGGAAAUUUUUGAUAAGGAUGCUAUGCAGUUUGUUGCUGGAUUGUUGAGGGAAUUCAGAAUCACAUCAAGUAUGCAAUGGAGUGCAGAAAGGAGGCCAAGGAACGGUACAACAUUUGUGGCUUGCCAGGGUUUGAUCCUGCUACGAAAUAUGUCAGGUAAGGGGAGUGGAUGUGUGCUCCAGUUCCAUCAGCGGUGGCUGAUCGUUGGUUUUCAUGGUUUGUGGGGAUCACUCUGUUUUUUUCUGUAUAUAUAAUGAAGAAAACAGAGAUGGCGAGAGUUACAGCACAAACUUGGCUUUAAUAUGCAUAUUACAAAUCAACGAACUCGACUAAUUUGGGACAGAGCGAUAAUUAACAAGAUCUCUUGUUGCUACAAGUUCCUGCAACUAAACCUGACGGUAGUAUAAAAGAUAUAUGGCUUGACAAGAACAAGCAGCAAGAUAUGUCAUUCAUAUUGGUGUAAUGGACAUGGUGCUGGUGACUCAAUACUUUGAUAUCAUGAAGGAAAUCGGUGCAUCCGCAAAGUCAGAUGUUGUUUUUCUCCCACAUGGACCUGGUGCAGUGAAAGACAUAGCCUCACAAAUCAGGGAGGGUCUUCUUCAGAGAAAUGCUACUCAGUGGUAAUAUAGUAUCUACAAUGAGCUUACGCCAUUGCGAAGGGAUUUCUGUAGAUUUGUGACUAGGUUAUUUUGUUGUUUGCUAGAUUGGUUAGGAAGGGAUUUAUCAAUGUACAAGAUAGAUAUUGCCAAAAUUUAUGAAAAAUAUUGCAUUUUACU
This is a long non-coding RNA of Daucus carota subsp. sativus, 1635 nucleotides long. RefSeq lists it as uncharacterized. The transcript has 4 exons. NCBI's taxonomy places the organism in Eukaryota, Viridiplantae, Streptophyta, Magnoliopsida, Apiales, Apiaceae. The record is from RefSeq and is a predicted model, not a curated record.